This 492-nucleotide ribosomal RNA is filed under the name uncultured bacterium. RNAcentral's name for it is "partial 16S ribosomal RNA". It matches the Rfam family "Bacterial small subunit ribosomal RNA", at positions 29 to 507 of the family's 1533-position model. The record is from RNAcentral.
AUUGAACGCUGGCGGCAUGCUUUACACAUGCAAGUCGAACGGUAACAGGCCUUCGGGUGCUGACGAGUGGCGAACGGGUGAGUGAUGCAUCGGAACGUACCCAGAGGUGGGGGAUAACGCAGCGAAAGCUGUGCUAAUACCGCAUGUGAUCUGAGGAUGAAAGCGGGGGACCGAGCAGCAAUGUUUGGCCUCGCGCCUUUGGAGCGGCCGAUGUCGGAUUAGCUAGUUGGUGGGGUAAAGGCCUACCAAGGCGACGAUCCGUAGCUGGUCUGAGAGGACGACCAGCCACACUGGGACUGAGACACGGCCCAGACUCCUACGGGAGGCAGCAGUGGGGAAUUUUGGACAAUGGGCGCAAGCCUGAUCCAGCAAUGCCGCGUGCGGGAAGAAGGCCUUCGGGUUGUAAACCGCUUUUGGCAGGAACGAAACGGUGUCCGCUAAUACCGGGCGCUAAUGACGGUACCUGCAGAAUAAGCACCGGCUAACUACGUG